Molecule: ribosomal RNA, 253 nt
Filed under: uncultured bacterium
Lineage: Bacteria
Description: partial 16S ribosomal RNA
Rfam family: Bacterial small subunit ribosomal RNA
Source: RNAcentral
UACGGGGGGGGCAAGCGUUGUUCGGAAUUACUGGGCGUAAAGGGCUCGUAGGCGGCCAACUAAGUCGGAUGUGAAAUCCCCAGGCUUAACCUGGGAACUGCAUCCGAUACUGGAUGGCUUGAAUCCGGGAGAGGGAUGCAGAAUUCCAGGUGUAGCGGUGAAAUGCGUAGAUAUCUGGAGGAACACCGGUGGCGAAGGCGGCAUCCUGGACCGACAUUGACGCUGAGGCGCGAAAGCCAGGGGAGCAAACGGG